CAGCAAACAAAUCAACUGGCAGAUUGUGCUGGCAAGUAAUGGGAAGCUGCUAGCAGUGGUUCAGGAUCAGUGUGUGGAGAUAAGGUCUGCGAGGGAUGACUUUGGUUCGGUCAUUGGGAAGUGCCAGGGUAAGACUGUACUUUAUGGAUCACAUAUAUUACUGUGACUGGACAGAAGCCAUACCUCAGCACGGAUGACAUCACACUGUACUGUAUUGACGAGGGAAAGAGUGAGAGCAUGAGAGAGAUAUGGCGGAAGGAAAAUGUCCAGUUUUAACAUUAUUGGGAGCUUACGCAUAGUGUGUGUGCAUGUGAGUGUGGAAGAGAGAGACACAGAGACACACACACAGAGAA
Hypomesus transpacificus is the source of this 353-nucleotide long non-coding RNA. RefSeq lists it as uncharacterized. Lineage: Eukaryota; Metazoa; Chordata; Actinopteri; Osmeriformes; Osmeridae. The record is from RefSeq and is a predicted model, not a curated record. The transcript is spliced from 3 exons.